UAAACCCAAUUAGGGCCUGAAAAUUUAUGGU
This 31-nucleotide non-coding RNA is filed under the name Mus musculus (house mouse). The record is from RNAcentral. Lineage: Eukaryota; Metazoa; Chordata; Mammalia; Rodentia; Muridae.